UACGGAGGGUGCAAGCGUUAAUCGGAAUUACUGGGCGUAAAGCGCACGCAGGUGGCUGAGUCAGUCGAUUGUGAAAGCCCUGGGCUUAACCUGGGAAUUGCAGUCGAUACUACUCAGCUAGAGUAUGGGAGAGGGUAGUGGAAUUCCAGGUGUAGCGGUGAAAUGCGUAGAUAUCUGGAGGAACACCGGUGGCGAAGGCGGCAUCCUGGACCGGCAUUGACGCUGAGGCGCGAAAGCUAGGGGAGCAAACGGG
This 253-nucleotide ribosomal RNA is filed under the name uncultured bacterium. Its description in RNAcentral is "partial 16S ribosomal RNA". It matches the Rfam family "Bacterial small subunit ribosomal RNA", at positions 524 to 776 of the family's 1533-position model. The record is from RNAcentral.